RNAcentral lists this unclassified non-coding RNA (405 nucleotides) under soil metagenome. RNAcentral describes it as "partial contains 5.8S ribosomal RNA, internal transcribed spacer 2, and large subunit ribosomal RNA". The stretch from base 1 to 121 matches the Rfam family "5.8S ribosomal RNA", at positions 35 to 154 of the family's 154-position model. The record is from RNAcentral.
GAUGAAGAACGUAGCGAAAUGCGAUAAGUAAUGUGAAUUGCAGAAUUCAGUGAAUCAUCGAAUCUUUGAACGCACCUUGCGCCCUUUGGCCAUUCCGAAGGGCAUGCCUGUUUGAGUAUCAUGAACACCUCAACUCUUUAUGGUUUUCCAUGAUGAGCUUGGACUCUGGGGGUUUUGCUGGCUCACAGUCGGCUCCUCUAAAAUGAAUCAGCUUACCAGUGUUUGGUGGGUAUCAUGGGUGUGAUAACUAUCUACGCUUGUGGUUUUUCCACCAGGUAACCUUCAGCAGUGGAGGUUCGCUGGAGCUCAUAGAUGUCUCUCCUCAGCGAGGACAGCCCUUUGAAUGUUUGAUCUCAAAUCAGGUAGGACUACCCGCUGAACUUAAGCAUAUCAAUAAGCGGAGGA